GACGAACGCUGGCGGCGUGCUUAAUACAUGCAAGUCAACUUGACUUUAGAUAGCAAUAUCGAAAAGUAGGGUGGCGCACGGGUGCGUAACGCGUAGGUAAUCUGCCCUGAGGUCUGACAUAACCCGUCGAAAGGCGGGCUAACAUCAGAUGAUAUAUAAUCACGACAUCGUGGAAAUAUCAAAUCUUCGGAGCCUUGGGAUGAGCCUGCGUCUGAUUAGGUAGUUGGCGGAGUAAUAGCCCACCAAGCCUACGAUCAGUAGCUGGUCUGAGAGGAUGAUCAGCCACACUGGAACUGAGACACGGUCCAGACUCCUACGGGAGGCAGCAGUAAGAUAUUGCUCAAUGGGGGAAACCCUGAAGCAGCAACGGCCGCGUGAAGGAUGAAA
RNAcentral lists this ribosomal RNA (387 nucleotides) under uncultured bacterium. RNAcentral describes it as "bacterial SSU rRNA". It matches the Rfam family "Bacterial small subunit ribosomal RNA", at positions 28 to 413 of the family's 1533-position model. The record is from RNAcentral.